Molecule: ribosomal RNA, 263 nt
Filed under: uncultured bacterium
Lineage: Bacteria
Description: partial 16S ribosomal RNA
Rfam family: Bacterial small subunit ribosomal RNA
Source: RNAcentral
CUAACACAUGCAAGUCGAACGCAGUAGCAAUACUGAGUGGCAAACGGGUGAGUAUAAUGCGGGAAUCUGCCUUUUGGUUCGGAAUAACACGAGGAAACUUGUGCUAAUACCGGAUAAGCCCUUACGGGGAAAGUUUUAAUGCCAAAAGAUGAGCCCGCACUUGAUUAGCUAGUUGGUGAGGUAAUGGCUCACCAAGACAAUGAUCAAUAGCUGUUCUUAGAGGAAGACCAGCCACAUUGGGACUGAGACACGGCCCAAACUCC